CCUACGGGAGGCAGCAGUGGGGGAUAUUGCACAAUGGGGGAAACCCUGAUGCAGCGACGCCGCGUGGGUGAAGAAGCGCCUCGGCGCGUAAAGCCCUGUCAGCAGGGAAGAAAAUGACGGUACCUGAAGAAGAAGCCACGGCUAACUACGUUCCAGCAGCCGCGGUAAUACGUAGGGGGCAAGCGUUAUCCGGAUUUACUGGGUGUAAAGGGGGCGCAGUCGGCGAUGCAAGCCAGGAGUGAAAGCCCGGGGCCCAACCCCGGGACUGCUCUUGGAACUGCGUGGCUAGAGUGCAGGAGGGGCAGGCGGAAUUCCUGGUGUAGCGGUGAAAUGCGUAGAUAUCAGGAGGAACACCGGUGGCGAAGGCGGCCUGCUGGACUGCAACUGACGUUGAGGCCCGAAAGCGUGGGGAGCAAACAGGAUUAGAUACCCCAGUAGUC
This 440-nucleotide ribosomal RNA is filed under the name uncultured bacterium. RNAcentral's name for it is "partial 16S ribosomal RNA". It matches the Rfam family "Bacterial small subunit ribosomal RNA", at positions 338 to 795 of the family's 1533-position model. The record is from RNAcentral.